GUCCGAAAGGAUUGCUAAUACCGCAUAAGUCGAGCCGGCCCCCGGGCCCGGGUUCGGGAAAGGGGGGCGGCCCCGCCAAGGGGCUCCCACCAGAGGAUGAGUCCGCGGCCCAUCAGCUAGUUGGCGGGGUAAAGGCCCACCAAGGCUUAGACGGGUAGCUGGUCUGAGAGGAUGAUCAGCCACACUGGGACUGAGACACGGCCCAG
Molecule: ribosomal RNA, 206 nt
Filed under: uncultured bacterium
Lineage: Bacteria
Description: partial 16S ribosomal RNA
Rfam family: Bacterial small subunit ribosomal RNA
Source: RNAcentral